RNAcentral lists this ribosomal RNA (1138 nucleotides) under Byrsax sp. NLG-2012. RNAcentral's name for it is "partial 16S ribosomal RNA". Lineage: Eukaryota; Metazoa; Arthropoda; Insecta; Coleoptera; Tenebrionidae. The record is from RNAcentral.
GUCUUUAAAAUUAAAAAAUUUGGCGGUAUUUUAAUCUGUUCAGAGGAACCUGUUUUUUAAUUGAUAAUCCACGAUAAUUUUUACCUUUUUUAAAAAUUUAUAUAUCGUUGUUGUUAAAAAUUUUUUUAUAUAAUUUUUUCAGAUCAUGGUGUAGUUUAUAGAAAGGAUAAAAUGGGUUACAAUAAAAAUUUAAAUGAAAUUGGAUUUGGAGGUAAGCUCUAAAAUAUGCACAUAUCGCCCGUCGCUUUCAUUUUUAGGUGAAAUAAGUCGUAACAAAGUAGAUUUAUUGGAAAAUGAAUCUGGAAUGCAAAUUAGAGCUUGAUAAGCAUUUUAUUUACAUUAAAAGGUUAAUUGUGAAAUUCAAUUUAAUUUGAUUAGAUAAUUUUAUUUAUUUGUAGUUGUUUAUUGUUUUUAGAUAAGAAUUUAUUUUUUAUUAUUUUUAUGAAAAAAUUUUAUUAUAGUUUAUUGUACAGUGAUGGAAAAUUUUUUAAUUUUUAAAGAAUAAUUUUUUUUUUGUACCUUUUGUAUCAGGGUUUAUUAAGUUGUUUUUCCCGAAAUUUUAAGAGUUAAUUUUAAUGUGAAAUAAUUAUUUUUAAUAGAAUUUUUGAAAUGAAACGUUAUUCGUUUAUAAUUAUAUCUGGUUUUUUAAGAUUUAAUUUAAUUAUUUCAGGAUUUAUUAUAUUUUUAAGGGAUAAGCUUUAAAUUUUUAUAUAAUUUUUUAAAAUUUAAUAAUUAGUAGGAUUGGAAAUUUCUAUUUUUUGAAGAUUUUUAUAAUUUAUUUAUAUGUUUUAUUAAAAUAUUGAAUUUAAUUUAGGUUUUUAAGUAAUAAUGAUAAAAUUAGUAAGUUAAAUAAAAGGAAUUCGGCAAUUUAGUUUCCACCUGUUUAAUAAAAACAUGUCCUUUUGAGUUUUAUUUAAGGUCAGGCCUGCCCAGUGAUUAAAUGGCCGCAGUAUUUUGACUGUGCAAAGGUAGCAUAAUCAUUAGUUUUUUAAUUGAAAGCUUGUAUGAAUGGUUAAAUGAGAAAUUUUCUGUCUCUAGAAUUUUAAUUUUAGGUGAAAAUGCCUAAAUUUUUUAUAAAGACGAGAAGACCCUAUAGAGUUUGGUUGGUGUGACUUAAAAAUUUAUUUAACUUUUUUUA